AUUAACGCUAGCGGCAGGCAUAAUACAUGCAAGUUGAACGGCAGCACAGGUAGCAAUACUGGGUGGCGAGUGGCGCACGGGUGCGUAACACGUAUGCAACCUACCCUAUACAGGCGAAUAACUUUUAGAAAUGAGGGCUAAUACGCCGUAGUAUUACAGAUGGGCAUCUAUUUGUAAUUAAAGAUUUAUCGGUAUAGGAUGGGCAUGCGUCCCAUUAGUUAGUUGGUAAGGUAACGGCUUACCAAGACGAUGAUG
Molecule: ribosomal RNA, 255 nt
Filed under: uncultured bacterium
Lineage: Bacteria
Description: partial 16S ribosomal RNA
Rfam family: Bacterial small subunit ribosomal RNA
Source: RNAcentral